GCCUGGGUGGCUCAGUUGAUUGAGUGUCUGACUUCAGCUCAGGUCACGAUCUCACAGUUUGCGAGUUCGAGCCCCGCGUCAGGCU
RNAcentral lists this transfer RNA (85 nucleotides) under Felis catus (domestic cat). It matches the Rfam family "tRNA". Rfam says of the family: Transfer RNA (tRNA) molecules are approximately 80 nucleotides in length. Their secondary structure includes four short double-helical elements and three loops (D, anti-codon, and T loops). The record is from Rfam by way of RNAcentral. Lineage: Eukaryota; Metazoa; Chordata; Mammalia; Carnivora; Felidae.